UUUUUCUUUCUUUCUUUCUUUUUUUUUUUUUUAAGACAGAGUCUCACUCUGUCACCCAGGCUGGAGUGCAGUGGUGUGAACUCGGCUCCCUGCAACCUCUGCAUCCCAGGUUCAAGCGAUUCUCCUGCUUCAGCCUCCUGAGUAGCUGGGCUUACAGGUGCAUGCCACCACACCUGGCUAAUUUUUUCACAUUUUUGGUAGAGACAAGAUUUCACCAUGUUUGCCAGGCUGAUCUCGAACUCUUGACCCCAAGUGAUCCAACUGCCUCGGCCUUCCAAAGUGCUGGGAUUACAGGUGUGAGCCACCAUGCCCAGCCCUUACCAUGCUUUACAAGUAUCAUUAAAUAAUUUUUUCCUUUAACACUGCCUGCUUGCAAUAUGUGAUUAAUGAACAUUACAUACUUUGCAAAGUGUUUGGCACAUAAUAAGUGUUUAAUAAAUGUGACACAUAAGAGAUGGAGGGAGAGAAAAGAGGGUGACAGGUAGGCACACAAGGGCAAGGCAUAUUCACAAACACAUUGCAAAUAAUCCUGGUAGCAGACCUGUCAGGUACUUACUAUUAACCUGCUUUAUAAAUAAAGAAACUGAGAUUCAGGGAGGUGCAGGGGCUUUGAGAAGGUUUCCCAGCUAGAAGCUUGGCAGGUGCAGGAUUGGAAUGCAGGUCUCUGAGUCCAACGUCCGUGCUCUCUGAUAUGGCUCCAUUGUCCCUUUUCUCUCUCAACCCUAUGCACACCUUAUGUUCUUUUUAUUCCUGAAAUGUCUAGGAAAACAAAAGGGAUCAUUCUCUUCCCUGAAAGGCUGAUACAGAUGUGAGUUUUGGAGGGGUCAGGGGUUGGCUACUCUUGCUCGCGGUAUCUGCGUGGAGAUCACCCACAGGUGUGAGGCUUUUGAUACUUCAAAAAUCCAAUCUCUGCUGGAAUUUUGCAACCUGCAGGUGGCUUGCUCUGCAGGGUCCUGGCUCCCUCACUGCUGCCUAGAACACUUGAAGGAGUGGAGAUCCCAGGUCCUUAGAUCAAGGCAAAGAGUUCGAUACGGCUUGGUAGAAAAGAGAAAGCUGUAUUUUGUGCUGUGGCUGGAAGAAUCUCCCCAGAGUCAAUGGAUGCAGUGCUGCCAGUUCCCAGAGUUGGAAUUUCUUUACAAUAAAGCUGCUGACAGUAGCAAUACUGGUGCUAUUGUCUAGCCAGGUGGAGGUUUUUCCAUGUAACAUCAACAGAAAGCAAAGCUGUAUCAAAUAGGGCCAAAUUCAAGAAGAUGCCAGUGAAGCACUAGGGCACAGCCUUGAUCACAAACCCCAAAGGAAUACUACUUUAAAUUUUAAAACUGCUCAAUUAAUAUGAAUAAGUGAGGUGGUUUGUGUUUGCUUAGUACAAUGCAAAUCACUGAGGAUGUUUGCAGGAAACCUGUUCUCCUUGAUAACUCCUGCUGUCUCUGCAACACCUGCAAAGAUCUUUCCCUGCUAGAGGAGAAACAAGUGGCCUAGAAGAAAAGAGUUCCUCUUUUCCCAACUAUCUGGGACACUUUAAAUAAUGUUGUUUCAAAAUGACAAGAAUGGCGACAUGUUUAUAUCUGCUGUUCCUUUUUGGGUUGGCCUCAUGAGGCAGUUCUUACUGUCAAAUCUUCCACAGCAGGAUGUGUGCACAGAAGAUUACUGCAGGCACUACCCAGAGGAUUAAAAAAAUACAUAUUACAUAUCAUAGGAAAACAGGACAGCUCUUCUAUGUUCUCCGUAGAGGGUCAGAAAUAGGAUGUGUUAUACACCUAGGUUUAUGUCUGCACAGUUUAUGUCCUGCAGCAUGCUGAUUUGAAUAUAUUUAAAGGAAACAAGAAGGAGUUAUGUGGUGGGAGAAAGGUAAAGAAAUAAAAUUAAGUGACAGGUGUAUAUUAGUUUGCUAGGGCUGCAGUAAUAAGGAACCAUGAAUUGAGUGGCUUAAAACAUCAGAAAUGUAUUGUCUCAUGGUUCUGGAGGCUAGAAGUUCAAGAUCAAGUUGCCGGCAGGGUUGGGCCCUUCUAAAGACUGGGAGCGACACUGUUUCAUGCCUCUCCCCUAGCUUCUGAUGGGUAGCUGGCAAUCUUGGCAUCUUCUGGCUUGUAGACACAUUAUCCUGAUCUCUGCUAUUAUCUUCACAUGAAGUUCUCAUGAUGUUCUCCCUGUGUGUCUAUCUGUGUGUCCAAAUUUCACCUAUUUAUGAGGACACCAGUCAUAGUGAAGUCACUAUGACCUCGUCUUAACUCAUUAAAUUUGCAAUGUUCUAUUUCCAAAUAAGGUCACAUUCUGAGGUACAGGGAGUUAGGACUUCAACAUAUGAAUGAGGACUGGGGGGUAGCACAAUGCAACCCAUGCCACAGGUGCUUUAUUCAUGUUAGCUCAUUUAAUCUACAAAACAAUUCCAUAAGAAAGAAGACCAUGUUUCUCUUCUUAGUGAUAAAGAAGUGGAAGCUCAGUAAGAACUCUAAAGCGCAUGGCCAUGGAAAAGGACACUAGUAAUAAGUUACGGAAACUACUCAGUCCAGUAUCUGGGCAGAAUCACUAUUCCAUAUAAGUUUUUCCGGGAUGAAAAAAAGGAAAGAAAAAUAAAGGCUACCCUGCAAGAGCCCCCUUUGUUAACACACACUGUUUGCAUCCUGGCUCAAGUGUGAAUCCUCCUACCAAGCUGUAAAUCUUCACUCCUGCUUUUCUACAGAAUCCAAGAACAACUUUGUUUGCAAACUUGCUUUGGAAAUGAGAGUGAGGUAAGUUUUCCAGUGUCUGACAGCUAGGAAGUACCAGGACACUGUAUCUCAAAGACUCCAAGUUGAGACCUUUCCUGUGUGCCACAAUGCCGGAACAAACUCCCUCCCCGAGUACGAGAUUCCAGAAGCAGAACCGUGGACAAUUUUUAAACUCAGAAAGCCUCCUGUGGAGUUGGGACUCACAGCUCACAGCCACGAAAUCACUGUCCAUUAACUGUUUGGUUUCCUGAGAGCAGAGAUUAGGGAUCCUCAGUCUUGCCUGUAUAUCAAUACCACCUGGGACCACUCAGACCAGGUGAAUCAAUGUCCCUGCAGGUUGGGCCCAGGUAAUGGUUUAUUACGUGUUCUAUGUAAGUUUAGGGUAUAACCAAGUGGUUAGAAUUACUAACUAAAUCAAACCUCUUUACUGACCAAUUACAUUAGAAUGUAAAUUCUC
Long non-coding RNA from Homo sapiens (human), 3165 nucleotides. RefSeq lists it as uncharacterized. The transcript has 4 exons. The record is from RefSeq and is a predicted model, not a curated record. Lineage: Eukaryota; Metazoa; Chordata; Mammalia; Primates; Hominidae.